Molecule: ribosomal RNA, 238 nt
Filed under: uncultured bacterium
Lineage: Bacteria
Description: partial 16S ribosomal RNA
Rfam family: Bacterial small subunit ribosomal RNA
Source: RNAcentral
CGGCGGACGGGUGAGUAACGCGUGGGUAACCUGCCUCAUACAGGGGGAUAACAGUUAGAAAUGACUGCUAAUACCGCAUAAGACCACAGCACCGCAUGGUGCGGGGGUAAAAACUCCGGUGGUAUGAGAUGGACCCGCGUCUGAUUAGCUAGUUGGUAAGGUAACGGCUUACCAAGGCGACGAUCAGUAGCCGACCUGAGAGGGUGACCGGCCACAUUGGGACUGGGACACGGCCCAA